This 293-nucleotide long non-coding RNA is filed under the name Lepisosteus oculatus (spotted gar). RNAcentral's name for it is "lncRNA (ENSLOCG00000022614.1)". The record is from RNAcentral. Lineage: Eukaryota; Metazoa; Chordata; Actinopteri; Semionotiformes; Lepisosteidae.
UGCAGAUUUCCUUUUGUUUGUAACGUCUAAUUGGACUUUAUGUGUCUUGUAGCUGAAGGAAAGACUGGCUUUGCUUAAGAAGGAGUACCUCAGGACUGUCCAGAGACUGCAGCGCGCGGAGCGAUCCCAGGUGGUCUGGCGGCACGAGAGGAGCGGAAUCGCGGAGCAGUACCGCCCGCCUCAGGAAGAACCGGGCUCAGCCCAGCAGUCCUCUUGCUCGGGUGAGUUUCUCCCAGGAUCGAUAUGCUGCUGGCCGGUCAGGCCCCAGAUGCAAACACCAGUCAAUCAAAGUA